AUUGAACGCUGGCGGCAGGCCUAACACAUGCAAGUCGAACGGUAACAGGAAGAAGCUUGCUUCUUUGCUGACGAGUGGCGGACGGGUGAGUAAUGUCUGGGAAACUGCCUGAUGGAGGGGGAUAACUACUGGAAACGGUAGCUAAUACCGCAUAACGUCGCAAGACCAAAGAGGGGGACCUUCGGGCCUCUUGCCAUCGGAUGUGCCCAGAUGGGAUUAGCUAGUAGGUGGGGUAACGGCCCACCUAGGCGACGAUCCCUAGCUGGUCUGAGAGGAUGACCAGCCACACUGGAACUGAGACACGGUCCAGACUCCUACGGGAGGCAGCAGUGGGGAAUAUUGCACAAUGGGCGCAAGCCUGAUGCAGCCAUGCCGCGUGUAUGAAGAAGGCCUUCGGGUUGUAAAGUACUUUCAGCGGGGAGGAAGGGAGUAAAGUUAAUACCUUUGCUCAUUGACGUUACCCGCAGAAGAAGCACCGGCUAACUCCGU
RNAcentral lists this ribosomal RNA (489 nucleotides) under uncultured bacterium. Its description in RNAcentral is "partial 16S ribosomal RNA". It matches the Rfam family "Bacterial small subunit ribosomal RNA", at positions 30 to 506 of the family's 1533-position model. The record is from RNAcentral.